RNAcentral lists this unclassified non-coding RNA (376 nucleotides) under uncultured bacterium. Its description in RNAcentral is "contains 16S-23S intergenic spacer region". The record is from RNAcentral.
UCCGAGUUGACCCCGGCAGUCUCCCAUGAGUCCCCGCCAUAACGCGCUGGCAACAUAGAACGAGGGUUGCGCUCGUUGCGGGACUUAACCCAACAUCUCACGACACGAGCUGACGACAACCAUGCACCACCUGUGCAGGACCCUUGCGGACCUCACAUCUCUGUGAGAUUUCCCUGCAUGUCAAACCCAGGUAAGGUUCUUCGCGUUGCCUCGAAUUAAACCACACGCUCCGCUGCUUGUGCGGGCCCCCGCCUAUUCCUUUGAGUUUCAGCCUUGCGGCCGUACUCCCCAGGCGGGACACUUACUGCGUUAGCGACGGCACCGAGGGGGUCGCUCCCCCCGACGCCUAGUGUCCAUCGUUUACGGCGUGGACUAC